This 500-nucleotide ribosomal RNA is filed under the name uncultured bacterium. RNAcentral's name for it is "partial 16S ribosomal RNA". It matches the Rfam family "Bacterial small subunit ribosomal RNA", at positions 29 to 523 of the family's 1533-position model. The record is from RNAcentral.
AUUGAACGCUGGCGGCAUGCCUUACACAUGCAAGUCGAACGGCAGCACGGGAGCAAUCCCGGUGGCGAGUGGCGAAAGGGGGAGUAAUAUAUCGGAACGCGCACAGUCGUGGGGGAUAACGCAGCGAAAGCUGUGCUAAUACCGCAUACGCUCACCGGAUGAAAGCGGGGGAUCGCACGAUCUCGCGCGAUUGUAGCGGCCGAUAUCAGAUUAGCUAGUGGGUGAGGUAAAGGCCCACCGAGGGGACGAUCUGUAGCUGGUCUGAGAGGAAGACCCGGCACGCUGGAACGGAGACACGGUCCAGACUCCUACGGGAGGCAGCAGUGGGGAAUUUUGGACAAUGGGGGCAGGCCUGAUCCAUCAAUGCCGCGUGCAGGAUGAAGGCCUUCGGGUUGUAAACUGCUUUUGUACGGAACGAAACGGCCCUUUCUAAUACAGGGGGCUAAUGACGGUACCGUAAGAAUAAGCACCGGCUAACUACGUGCCAGCCGCCGCCGUAA